CGACUCCACGAAGUUGGAUUCGCUAGUAAUCGCGCAUCAGCCAUGGCGCGGUGAAUACGUUCCCGGGCCUUGUACACACCGCCCGUCAAGCCAUGGGAGCCGGGGGCGCCUGAAGUCCGGGACCGCGAGGACCGGCCUAGGGCGAAACUGGUAACUGGGGCUAAGUCGUAACAAGGUAGC
RNAcentral lists this ribosomal RNA (180 nucleotides) under uncultured bacterium. RNAcentral describes it as "partial 16S ribosomal RNA". It matches the Rfam family "Bacterial small subunit ribosomal RNA", at positions 1313 to 1500 of the family's 1533-position model. The record is from RNAcentral.